RNAcentral lists this ribosomal RNA (328 nucleotides) under uncultured eukaryote. RNAcentral's name for it is "partial 18S ribosomal RNA". It matches the Rfam family "Eukaryotic small subunit ribosomal RNA", at positions 1470 to 1796 of the family's 1831-position model. The record is from RNAcentral.
CCCUUAGAUGUCCGGGGCUGCACGCGCGCUACACUGAAGGAAUCAGCGUGCUAAAACCAUUGUCGAAAGGCAUUGGUAAACCCAUUAAAAUCCUACGUGAUUGGGAUCGGGAAUUGCAAUUAUUUCCCUUGAACGAGGAAUUCCCAGUAAGUGUGGGUCAUAGGCUCGCGUUGAUUACGUCCCUGCCCUUUGUACACACCGCCCGUCGCUGCCCGGGACUGAGCCGUUUCGAGAAAAGCGGGGACUGCUGCUGUCGGGGCUUUCGGGCCUUGGCUUCGGUGGAAACCGCUUUAAUCGCAGUGGCUUGAACCGGGCAAAAGUCGUANCA